RNAcentral lists this ribosomal RNA (491 nucleotides) under uncultured bacterium. Its description in RNAcentral is "partial 16S ribosomal RNA". It matches the Rfam family "Bacterial small subunit ribosomal RNA", at positions 29 to 506 of the family's 1533-position model. The record is from RNAcentral.
AGUGAACGCUGGCGGUAGGCCUAACACAUGCAAGUCGAACGGCAGCACUGUAAGAGCUUGCUCUUACGGGUGGCGAGUGGCGGACGGGUGAGGAAUACAUCGGAAUCUACUUUUUCGUGGGGGAUAACGUAGGGAAACUUACGCUAAUACCGCAUACGACCUACGGGUGAAAGCAGGGGAUCUUCGGACCUUGCGCGAUUGAAUGAGCCGAUGUCGGAUUAGCUAGUUGGCGGGGUAAAGGCCCACCAAGGCGACGAUCCGUAGCUGGUCUGAGAGGAUGAUCAGCCACACUGGAACUGAGACACGGUCCAGACUCCUACGGGAGGCAGCAGUGGGGAAUAUUGGACAAUGGGCGCAAGCCUGAUCCAGCCAUACCGCGUGGGUGAAGAAGGCCUUCGGGUUGUAAAGCCCUUUUGUUGGGAAAGAAAAGCAGCAGGUUAAUACCCCGCUGUUCUGACGGUACCCAAAGAAUAAGCACCGGCUAACUUCGU